RNAcentral lists this transfer RNA (73 nucleotides) under Rattus norvegicus (Norway rat). It matches the Rfam family "tRNA". From Rfam's summary of the family: Transfer RNA (tRNA) molecules are approximately 80 nucleotides in length. Their secondary structure includes four short double-helical elements and three loops (D, anti-codon, and T loops). Lineage: Eukaryota; Metazoa; Chordata; Mammalia; Rodentia; Muridae. The record is from Rfam by way of RNAcentral.
GGAGAGAUGGUUCAGUGGUUAAGAACAUUUGUUGAUCUUACAGAGGACCUGGGUUCAUUUCCCAGCAUCCCCA